This 10237-nucleotide long non-coding RNA is filed under the name Marmota monax (woodchuck). The record is from RNAcentral. Lineage: Eukaryota; Metazoa; Chordata; Mammalia; Rodentia; Sciuridae.
AGCGAACAUGGUAGUCUGUUUUCAUGAUUGAGUUGGGGAGGGUAGUGGAUGGGAUUUUUUCCCCCUAUGCAAUUCUGAAUGUUCUUUCAGGAAUAAUUCUCAUAAGAGCUUCUUUCUCAGGUUCUCCAUAGGUUCCUAUGUGCAAGUUUGGAUAUGGAUGCCCAGAACAUCUUCUAGUCUGACUAUCAGAUGGCAUCAAGUCUGCAAAGGUACAGGGAAGACGUUCUGCAUAAAUGAAAAAGAAUCUGGAGUUCUUCAAAGUGGAGAAGAUCAAAGAAGCAAUCCGGGAAGGGACAGGGAGAGAGGAGAAAUGGAAAAAUGGAAAGAUGGUAAGGCUAUUUGUGAGGUGACCAUAUGAGUCCCACAUUUUGUUGAAAAAUGCAAUGUGGCUGGUGGGAGUCCAUUUCUUAUGAAGGCCUAAUCAUGAUGAUGGAAAGGGGUGGAGAAAAUAAAGACAGCACCUGCAGAUGAGGUUUUUGGACUCUGAGAGGAGCCUAGACCAGGACCUGCAGAAGCACUGUGGGAGAAGGGAAGACACCCAUGUGUUCAUGACAAUUGCCCCCAGAUCUCCAAGGGCAAUGGGAUUCCAGGUGACAACUACUUACACCUCCUCUUGGCUGUCCACAGCAGCCUUCACACUGCCAUUUGUUCUUCCUGAGCGGCGUCUGAGAAGGGUUGGUGAUAUGGUUAGAAUGUGGAACCAGACAGAACAGAGGAUUAAUGACCUGCAGUGUAGAUAUCAAACAAAUCAUCACAGUGUCACGUUUAUAUUUACCAAACCAAGGCAAGUACCGUGAAGGGAAGGGGUGUGGUUCGAUGAGAGCAGAUGUCAAAAGAAUUCAUGGUGGGCAAAGUGAUCAGAGUAUUUCUUCAUGAAACAAUGAUGCUUUGGUUGGGAUCAAGAGGAAGGUGGGGGUGGGUGUCAUGAUGUGGAACUUGGACUUCAUUUCAAGGUCACUGGGAAAUUAUUGAAAGUUUCUAGACAGAGGCUGAGAAGGUAACUCUGCAGCAGAGAGAGCAGUUACAGGGCUCAGAGUAGAUGUGGGGAGACUAAUUAGGAGUCCCUUCUUAAGUCCACAGAAGGCUGCUAAUGGUCUGGAUCCCAGCUGUAGCAGCAGAGGGGAACAUAAUUAAGUUUGAGGGAUAUUUGGGAGGUAAAACUGGACAAACCUGGUGCUAGGUCCAGUGGUGAAGGCGGGGAUCGGGGGUGAAGAUGAUUUUCCCAGGUUUCUGGCUAGCAUCAUUCUCCAAUUCAGUUGCAAAGCAGGUAUGAACCUAAGACCUGAUGGUUCACCUCUCCUGUUACACUGCCUACAGUUAGAGGUUCAAAAUAGGCAAGCCAGCUAUAGUUAGAAAGAAAGAGGGAACCUUUACCAGGCACAUUUGAGCCCUUUAUGCAUGCUAGCUAACAGCCACUGAACUUCCUAUCCCAACACCUGCCAUUAAAGUCAAGAUAAGGUAAUGAUAAUGUGCUUCAGAGGGAUUUCCUCAGAGCCUCAGAAUUUCUAGCUAACCAAAGAGAGACCUUCAUUCUGCUUGGCCACAACCUAGUUCCAGGCUGUGAUGGCUUUGAAGUCCAGCCCCAUACCAUCCAGGAAGGUACUAAUAUUUGUUUACAUGGGGUCUUAGUUGGUUUUCUGUUGCUGUAAGAGAACACCUGAAACUAUAUGAUUUAUAGACAGUACAGGUUUAUAUUGGCUCAUAAUUUUGGAAGUUAUGAAGUCCAAAAGUAUAGUCCUGGCAUCUGAAUUCACUUCCACAAGAAUUAACCCAGUAGCUGGAGAGCGGUAUCAACACUUCUGAAUGACCUGAUCACCUCUUAAAGAUCCUACCUCCUAAAUCACUACAAAGGCAAUCAAAUUUCAACAUGAGCUUCAGAGACUAUAACCCUAUUCAGACCACAGCACGUGACCUUUUAAUGGUGUUAUUCUCUGUCUUCUGAAAGAUGCUCUAGCGGAGAAAGGGAAGUUGGCACCCAGUUUGCAUUCUCUCUCCCUCUCUCUCUCUCUUUCUCUCUCUCUUUCUUGAUAUUAAAAUCUUCUCCCAGUCCACAAGAGAAAAUCUGGCUCUGAUCCCUAAUGCUUCUGCUGCAGACCCUCUCAGGAUAUUCUCUUCAGGGGACACAGACAGAGAUGUGUGAGUUAAGGGAAAGUGAAUGUGGUACUAAGUUACCAACAGUUUGCAUCUGUUUUAGAAAACCACUUCCAUGCCCUGUCAGUGUCCCUGUCUGCAAAAUGGAGACCAUCCUCUGUGCCUGACAGCAUUGCUCUAAGGUACAAUAGAGUUGGCCUCAUUUAUCGUACCCUUCUUCCUGAAAUAUUUUCCUGACUUGACUUCCGGGAGCCAUUACCCUGCUGAUAUUCCUCCUUGAUCACUGGCCACUACUUCUAAAUCUUCUCGGCUGACUCCUACUUUCCUUCUUAACCUUUAAAAUUGGACUUUCCCUCAGGCCAAGUCCUUGAGUUGCUGUUCUUCUCUCUCCUCGCCUACUCCCUGACUGAUUCGGUCAAGGCCUACAGCUUUAAACAUUUUUUAUUUCAUGGUCCAUAUCUGUGUGGUCUUGCUACCUCCACUAAUUGCUCAGUUCCUUUCCUCCUUCAUCUCCAUUUACAUAUUAAACUAAAUAUAUCUAAGUCUGAGUGAGCCCUUAAUUUCCUGCCAUCCGUCUUGCCUCUGGUUUCUCACUUUGUUCAGAACACCACUUGCUUAGUUUUACUGAGACCCAACACCUAGGGGUGGUCCAUGCUCCUCUCUUUCCUUCAUCACCCAUGAGCAGACCACGAACAGUCACUAGAAAGUCUACCCUCAAGGCACAUCCGAAACCCAGUCUGUCCUUCUGACCUCCACCAGUGGAGGUCUGUCCCAUGGACCAGAAUUGUCUUUGUUGGGUCUCUGCAAUGGCCUCCUAAAUGAUCUCUCUAUCCACCCCUGCAUGCUGUCAAUCCUCAUCCAGAAGUCAGAGCUUUCAUCCUACAACAUUAACCAGAUUAUGUCACUGUCUGCCCUUCACCCUGCAAGCCAUCUCAUCCUAUCAAAUCAACUCGGUCGCCUAUGGCCUUGGAGGCCCUCAGCCCACCCCUCCAGUCCCACCACCUAUUCUCCUUCCCUCACUCAUCCAGCUCAGCUGCACUGGUCUCCUUGAUGUCUCUUGAAGGUGUAGCACCCUGUGCCUGGGCUCCCCACAAGGUGCAUGAAGAUGCCCCAGUGGGCACAGCUGCCUCUCCGCUUCAUGGUGAUUUCUACUUUGGCAUUACUUUCUCCAAGAGUCCUUCUCUAUCACUUCCAGUUCUCUCCCUCUUUUCUGCCCUACUCUGCUUUGUUUUUCUUUGGUGCACACAUCACUAUCUGAAAUGAUUAUUCUUAAUCCUUUGGAUUUGGGUUAGUCUCCCUAUAGAAAUAUUAGGUAAUGAGGGCAGGGACUGUGCCCAUCUCAUCCACUGCUAUUUUUCCAGCUUGUCAUAGGUGCUCAGCAAACAUUUGUCUAAUGGCUACACAGGAGAGUGAGUGAGUGAGUGAAUGGAUGCCUAUUUCUCUUUUAAAGACACAAAGGAAGGAAAUACCUGUGGGACCAAAGAGAGUUCUCUGCCUCAGUUUGGGAGCAAGUUGAGAGAGAUUGGCAUGGACAGAAAGGGAAGACGGUGAAGAAAAAAGCAAGUGGUAAUUAAAAAGACAAAAAGGACUUCAAGUGCCUUGUUGAAAAAAAAAAAGAGGGUGAAGCAAGAAUAAAGAAUAAGGAUAUUGUGCUUAAAUACUUCCUGAGACCACACAAAUCCUGAAGUGUGAAUGCAUAUAAUGUAAUCAGGAGAAAGAGGUUCUAAAAGAGUAAAACACAUUAUGAGAAGCAGAGAUGGGGAAAAAAAUAAAUAAAAAUGUGACUCUAUUGUGUUUACAAAAAGCUACGGUGUCCUUAACUGAAUGUUUGUGUAAAUGGUUUUGGUUUAUCCUGGUGGUGGGAAAGGAACUGCAAAUAGCCUAUGUACACUAUGGAAAUCUAUUUUGCAAUUCUUGAAAAGCCCACGAGAAGCGAAUGCAAUAAUGGAUGUGGAAGUAUAAAGAGUUCUGCAAAUGAAAAAAAAAAGGGGGGGGGGGUAUUGUCAGGAGAAGAAUACAGAGGAUGUGAGAGUUAACUUUGGGGAGCCUGCUCAGAAUUCUAAGUGGCCUCAAAUCCAGGACUGAGAGCAAACCCUGAACUCUGGUUGUCACAAAAUUGAGGCAGCCCGUGAUGACUUGCCAAUGUACUCAAUACUAGUGGCAGGCAUGACAAGGAAGAGAGAGAGAGAGAGAGAUAUAACCCUUGGAGAAUGAAGAGCCCUUCAGGAUGCACAAAGCUAAUAUAGCUUUAAUAGGAAUAUUUCUUCAGACCGUCUUACCUAUCCAGAAGCUUCCUCUUUUGCAAUAUUGAUUGUGAGCCAGGCAGAGGAGCAGAUGCAAAGGUCAUUGCAGGGAUGUGACUUAGAAUGUCCCUGAACAGGGAUACUGAUUCCUGUUCCUCAUCAACCAGCAGUUGAUAAUAUGAUUCUUCCCCCAAUUAAAGAUAAUGACAACUUCCACCAGGAAAAAAAAAAAAAGACAACUGCCCUUGACCUGUGCACCCUCCUUGUCGACCACAGGAAAAAGCAUACUUUCCAAUUUCUCCUUCAAGUUUUGGCACUGAAUUCUGAAAGUCAGAUCCUGCAGCCCUGCUGAUAGCCUGAGAGUGCAAUAGCAGUGGUCAAGUCGCUUUGAAGGUAUGAGUUCCUGCAAUGCAAAAAUCCAUGGUCCAUUGCCCUUGUCCAUCCUGUGUGUCUUUAUAGUACAGACACACAGAGAUCUGCACAGAGAUCUGGGCCAGAUUGCUGAUGCUCCCAUGCUGGAUGGAGGGAUCCACGCUUUUCUCUCCACCAGUGAGGUUAAAGGGUUAGAUACUGCUCUCUGCCUGGGAUUAAUGUUGGGACAACCAAAGAAAGUCCAGCCUCUGCCAUGUGUUAGUACCUUUCUUACCCCUGAAUCUUGGAAGCCAUGCUCUGGGAAGCCUGUCUCACCCAGACAUGGAAUCAUGGCCUUCCAAAUCCCCAGACACACACACACCUACUUCCUGUAGUUCUGCAGCCUCAACCUCCCACCUGCCAGAAGAGGCUAGAACUCAGAGGCUGAACCUCCUUAGAGAAGCAUGAGGUGAACUUUUGUCCUCAUACAAACUCUAGAUGAAUGUUACAGGCACAUCCCAUCAUACGCCUUUUUCCCAAGCCUAUUUCAGACCCAUUUCCAGAAUGAGUAAAUGAAAUUCCACUUGGUUCUGAGAUAUUGACAACUUCUGUGCUUUCCAUCUCAAGAAAUGCAAGAUUCCCUGAGUAACUGGGGAGAAAACAUCAAUGGACCAUAGGAAGAUGCCCCUUUGUCUGUAUGCUAGGAUUCUCCUGGAGACAUAAUCAGAAAUUUCCCCAAUGGUGCAAAAAUAGCUACUCUUAGCCCAAAGGGAAGAUUAUAUUGCUACUUCAAUAUCUUGCUUAUAUUGCUAUAUUGAUGGUUAAGGUAGAUGAAAGGAAGAAGCAUGUGGGAAUCUGUCCCUUUCACAAGUCUCAGUGCUUUGGAGCUUGUAUCAGUCAGAAAAGGUUAGAUUUAUGCUGCAAUAAUAACUGAACCCUAAUAUUUUAAUGGGUUCAAACCAUUAAAGUGUACUCCUUUAUCCAUGCAGUCUUUCCACUAAGGAUGGCAGAGGGCUAGUUUAUUAAAGUCACUCAGGCACUCAGGCUGAUGGAGGAGCCACCAGAUUGAGCAUUGUGGACCACCAUAUCAGAAGGGAAAAUGUAUCUAGAGGGUAUUAAAUCAGCAAUUAAAUACUCCAGUCUAAAAUUGACACAUGUCACUUGUGUUCUUAGCCCUCUUAUCAGAACUAGUCAUUUGAAUGUAUGAAUCACAAAUGGGCCAGGCAGGAAGCAAAAUUCUACUCUGCUCUAGAAGUGAAAAAAAGCAUAUGCUGUUUUUGCAAAUAGCACUAGUGCUUUAAAAAAAAAAAAAAAAAAGCACUAUUUUGCAAAUAGCACGAAUACCAACCUUCAAGUAUCUGGAUUAGAAAACCAGCUACCGAGGGCCCAGUUUUCCAGGAAAGACAUACAACACUCUUGGCUAGAAUCUCCAAAGCAGUUCUUCCUCCUUUUUUAUAAAGCUGAAGCCAGGAGAGACACUUUGAUGAUUCAAUGGGAGGGCCAAAGAUAAUGCAGUAACUAAAGGGUCCUGAGGAGGAAAGAUUUUGUUAUCCUCUCGUGAUAUUUUUUGAGCAACAACAUUUACCAUGACGGUGGCUUCUGGAAGCAUGACAUUCAAAUAUUUAUUGAUUCUGUAAUGUGUUGGACCGGACCCAAGAGAUGUUCAGAGCCAGGAGCAGAGCCAGGGUGGCCAGCUGUGCUACUUAAAGUGGGGCUGACAGAUGCCCCAGAACCCAGACUACCAAAGGCAAGGGCAAAACACUCUCAUCCCUAUAGGACACACGUGAAGACUAAAAGUUCAUCCCUUCCCCCAGGAAAAGCCAGGCUGCAGGCUGCAUUGAUCCAGGAGGAAGAGCCCCGAGAUGAGCUCUCCUCUUGUUUUUUCUUCAAAUUCACAUCAAGUGUUUCUUUACUUGCUCACUUUUCAGUUGUGUGAUGAAUGUCUGGUAACGGGUACAAAGCCUGCUAUCUAGUCCCUCCCCAGCACACACAUUUCCAGAGCCAGUGUACACUUGAUAACUCCAAUCUGCCUCCAUGCACCCACUUUCUGAAAUCCUCCACAGAACCUCCCAGAGACCAGAUCCUAAUCCUAGCAAAAGCUCCGUGAUUAUCUUUUUUUUUUUUUUUUUUUGAGCCUGUGCCAAAUACCAAGGGAAAUAAAAGUCUAAAUGUAGCAAUGACAUAGAGUGGUCUCAUGUUCUGAAGCCAGGCUGGUUUUGAAGGGGAAAACCAGGAGCUCUGGAGAACACAGGAUGCUGCAGGAAGGGUUUUUAGGAUCUCACUUGAGUCAAGGGUGAAAGACCUCUUGAAGGACAGGCUGGCAUGGGCCAAAAGCAGCACAAGGACUUAAAAGUGGCCUAAAAAGGGGCUCACAUAAGAAGAAACUGGCAUCACUGAAUGGACCCCUGAGAACCAUGCCAAAAUUAGCCUAGCCACCUUGCCUAGCCCAAAACCACUCAGCCAGUUGUUGGGAAAACAGUCAAAGCCUCAGGAAUCCUGGCCCAAUGCCCUUUGCUCUGCAUGCCACAUGGCUGCAAAUUCCAGGUAACCAGGGCACAGCUAAGCUAUCCCUGGAUCAAGAGAAAAGCAGUUGAGAGAUCAUUGCUCCAAUUCUCAAGGAUUCUAAAGAAAAAGACUAUGGCUGCCCCGGAGCUUCCACGGAGGAACAAAGGUAAAAUGAUCAUUAUUUCUUUCGUACAAUUAAUUCUACCUUGAUUUUAUCAUUCAGUCCUUUAGAGAGCUUCAGUUGAAAUUCAAGUUAGUUCAAUCAUAAUUUUUCGACCUUGAAAACUUUCCUGUCUCUGUACUCUGUAAAAACUCUUUGAGUUGCAAGUGACACAGGAAAGUCAAAUUGGAUUAAGGAGGGGAAAAUACACCAAUCAUUGGCUGUAUUAUUCCAUUUUGCAUCGCUCUACAAAAUACCGGAGGCUGAGUAAUUUAUAAAGAAAAGAGGCUUAUUUAGAUUAGAGUUUGGAGGCUGAAAAUCCAAAUAAGCAUGGUGCCAGGUCUGGUGAGGGCCCCUAACCCUGGUUGUGUCACACUAGGAUGGAUGGCAUGAUGGGAGGAGCAUAUGGGAGAGGGAGAGAUUUCAUGGUGAGACGUAAAGCCAGAGAACAGGGAGGAGUGAGUCAUAUUUUCCUUUAUAACAACCUUGUUUCAAAACCUAACUGGAAUUCCACAGAACAUUAAUGGUUCCAAGAGCAGUGAUCCAAUGACCUAAUCACCUUCCACUAGGUCCCACCUCUUAUAGAUUCCACCACUUUCCAUCACUACCAAUUGGGAAGCCAUAGGAAACAUACUCAAACCAAAUCCAAACUAUAGCAUUGGCCAAAUCACUGAAAAGUCAGAGGGUAAAGCAGAAUCCAGGCAUCAACUCCACUACUGACAUCACAUCUCUCUUGCUCUUUCCCUCUCAUUCUCCUGUUUUCCUUCACUGGCAUGGAGCUGAAUCUUCUCAUGAAGCUGCUGACAGGGACCAGAACUCAUUUUACAUCCUAGUACCACCAGCAGAAAGACAGCUAUUCAGAAAAUGUCACCCACCGUUGCUUCUCCUUGGCCCAGCCCAGAUCAUUUUCUUAUCUCAAGCCAACAACUACCCUCAGACAAUGCAGUUGAGCAGCUCCCCAUACCCCAGAGCUGGGUGGUGACAGCUCAUCCUCCCUGGAAUAGCAAGGAUUAAGAACGCCAGGGAAUUAUCCCUAAAGAAAACAGGAAGCUAUUGUUCGUGGGAGAAUGAAUGGUCAAGCAGGCAGAAAUGACCAUCACUCACUCCAAACACCUGCUAAUCCUCCAUAGAACUCGUUUUGGAAAUGCUGUGCUGCAUCUUGCUGUCUCCCUAAGCAGACAUCAAUUCCUGCUAUUAAAUGGUUGUUUCGUUUAAUUUGGUGAGUUCAUUCUUGGGUCUGAAGAGGUCAAACUCAAACAAAACACAGGCUGUCCCUUCUAGAGUUCUUCUGUAUGCCCCAUGCUGGUUAAGAAAACAAAUUGGAAAGUGAGGUUCAGGGUUGCCCAAGAAGCAUAAUUCCAGUGGUUUGGAGGAGAUUUAGGCCCUAUAACAACUAUGGGAUGGACUCAAUCGAGGUUUUUUAAAGAUUUUGAGUUGUUGGUAAAAUGCAUUGCUUCAUUCGAAUUAAGUCUUUGCUUACCUAAUUGUUUACAGAAAUCCACACAAAUGAGAUUAACAUAAAAAAAAAAAAGAAAGACAACAAGAUAAUUAAGUCUGAUUGCUCCAGAGCAGGUUGGUGACAGCCCUGGAAAUGUGCCAACACUAACUGGCUGGAGAUAUUUCCCAUACAGUUAAUUGCAAAUGGUCAUUGAAAGCCCUUGAAAUUAACUUAGGUCCCCUCAACUGAAGUGUGGAGAAGGGAUUUAGAAGUGUGAAGGAGACCAGGGUUUGGAAAGAGGACCCACCAGGGACAUCAGCGUCUUUCUGUCCCAGAGUCCUGUUCGACUAACAUCAUCAAUCUUGUCACUUCUCUGGGUCUUGGUCUUCUGAUCUGUACCAUGGACUUGGGGAGUGGGGGUGGGUAGAUCAUGUCAGUGCAGGAUGUCCUGACCUUCUAUGAUCCCCUCCAACUUGACUACACAAAGAUCAGCCCAUCCCCAGUCCAGCCUCUGGUCUGUGCAUCAGCUGGGCAGCUUUUCCUCACACAGAUAUGGAAGGACUUCUUCCUGCACACUAUUGGCUGGUAUCCUAGGAGCCUGCAAAUUACCUCAACAGGAAAAUAAACCUGGGGAGGUCUUUCCAAGUGCCUCAACAUCUCCAAGACAGGAGCUGCUGCAAAGAGAAGAAAAUAGAAUAGGCGUGUGAGCUAAGGAGAAAGGACCAAGUAUCACUGGUCCUUGAAAGAAUUCCACUUUCCUCCCCAGAACUUUGUGUCCCCCUAGGUCUCAGGUAAGUUAUGGGAUCCUGGAUCAGAGAGCAGAAUGGAACCACAAGAAUUUAUAUGUUCCAGAUCCCUAUGAUGAGGAUCUGGAGUCAAUAUCCCAAGGUCACAAACUGAAGCUCCAAAGUCAUUGGACCAAGAUUCUAUGGGAGGAGAGAAUUAGAACUCUGUGAGCAUUUCUGCCUCCUCAUGUUGGAUGUUUCCAUAUUUCAGAGGCUGAUGAGGGUGGCGGCCAUACAGGAGGCAAGAAGACGAGUUGUGUACACACCUAAGUUUGCUGCAUAUUCCUCUCUGAGAUGCAUUCUCACUCUGUGCAUCCAGGAUAAGCCUCUUUCCUGUCCUGACCCUGCCCAGCCCCAUUGCAUCCUGUGUGUCCUACAAGCAACCUUUGAGAAGUCAACCCCUGAGCUUGUUGCAAUACGAUUCUGCGCACUAUGCCAUGUCCUGCAAGUAUCUCUUCAUUAGAUUGAAGAUUCUCAAAGGUAAAGUCUCGCUGCCCCUAGUAAAGUCUAAUGUAUGUUACAGAUUCUCAGUACAUGUCUACUGAUUGAGCAAAUCAGUCAGAUGUUGUCCUAAGGUUUUUAAGCAGAAGGGAAAGAUAGCAGCAACUUGACAGGACCUGUUUCCAGAAGCAAUUCUCCCUCAAAAAGAUAAGAGGGAUAUUAA